UACGGAGGAUCCGAGCGUUAUCCGGAUUUAUUGGGUUUAAAGGGUGCGCAGGCGGGAGAUUAAGUCGGCGGUGAAAUUUUGCAGCUCAACUGUAAAAGUGCCUUCGAUACUGGUUUCCUUGAGUGUGGAUGAAGUAGGCGGAAUUUGUGGUGUAGCGGUGAAAUGCUUAGAUAUCACGAGGAACUCCGAUUGCGCAGGCAGCUUACUAAACUACUACUGACGCUCAGGCACGAAGGCGUGGGGAUCAAACAGGAUUAGAUACCCUGGUA
RNAcentral lists this ribosomal RNA (269 nucleotides) under uncultured prokaryote. Its description in RNAcentral is "partial 16S ribosomal RNA". It matches the Rfam family "Bacterial small subunit ribosomal RNA", at positions 524 to 792 of the family's 1533-position model. The record is from RNAcentral.